This 225-nucleotide ribosomal RNA is filed under the name Cheimarrichthys fosteri. RNAcentral's name for it is "partial 28S ribosomal RNA". The record is from RNAcentral. Lineage: Eukaryota; Metazoa; Chordata; Actinopteri; Uranoscopiformes; Cheimarrichthyidae.
GUAAUGAUACCAUAGUGCCGCGGAUCUUCGGUUGGUCUCGGAUAACCGGCUUCGGUCGGUGAAGAGAGCCGCUCGUUACAGGGUCGGGGUGCGGCCGGAUGAUGGUCGCCCCUCUCCUAUAUCGCAUCACAUGUUUGUGUCGAACCUGGUGCUAAAUGACUCGCAGACGACCUGAUUCUGGGUCAGGGUUUCGUGCGUAGCAGAGCAGCUCCCUCGNUGCGAUCU